ACGGCGAGUGAACCGGGAAGAGCUCAAAUUUGAAAUCUGGCGUGCUCAGUGCGUCCGAGUUGUAAUCUAUAGAGGCGUUUUCCGUGCCGGACUGUGUCUAAGUCCCUUGGAACAGGGUAUCAAAGAGGGUGAUAAUCCCGUACUUGACACAAUGACCGGUGCUCUGUGAUACGUCUUCUACGAGUCGAGUUGUUUGGGAAUGCAGCUCAAAAUGGGUGGUGAGUUCCAUCUAAAGCUAAAUAUUGGCGAGAGACCGAUAGCGAACAAGUACCGUGAGGGAAAGAUGAAAAGCACUUUGGAAAGAGAGUUAAACAGUACGUGAAAUUGUUGAAAGGGAAACGAUUGAAGUCAGUCGUGACUGAGAGGCUCAGCCGGUUCUGCCGGUGUAUUCCCCUCAGUCGGGUCAACAUCAGUUUUGUUCGGUGGAUAAGGGCAGCUGGAAGGUGGCACCUCCGGGUGUGUUAUAGCCAGCUGUCGCAUACAUCGAAUGAGACUGAGGAAUGCAGCUCGCCUUUAUGGCCGGGGUUCGCCCACGUCCGAGCUUAGGAUGU
RNAcentral lists this ribosomal RNA (551 nucleotides) under Papiliotrema flavescens. Its description in RNAcentral is "eukaryotic LSU rRNA". It matches the Rfam family "Eukaryotic large subunit ribosomal RNA", at positions 86 to 626 of the family's 3401-position model. The record is from RNAcentral. Lineage: Eukaryota; Fungi; Basidiomycota; Tremellomycetes; Tremellales; Rhynchogastremaceae.